Long non-coding RNA from Xyrauchen texanus (razorback sucker), 236 nucleotides. RefSeq lists it as uncharacterized. The record is from RefSeq and is a predicted model, not a curated record. NCBI's taxonomy places the organism in Eukaryota, Metazoa, Chordata, Actinopteri, Cypriniformes, Catostomidae. The transcript has 3 exons.
AGAAGGGGAAUGUAGAGGAAUGCAGAACAAGCGAACUACUCCAAUUCUGCAGGGCCUACUGGCAGUCGAUCCUAAAGAAACAGCACAACAACAAAACAACAGGAAAUGUUCAGUUUCUUGCUACUGCUAAUUAUUCAGGAAUAAUAUACCAUUUUAAAAUCUUCUCAAAGACAAAGACUCACGUUUGAUGACUUUACACAGAGUUGUGUCAAUCAGAGGCAAUUUCUCCCUUUUCC